GUAGUUAGCCGGGGCUUCCUCCUUGGCUACCGUCACUUUCUUCGUCACCAAGGACAGAGGUUUACAACCCGAAAGCCUUCUUCCCUCACGCGGCGUUGCUGGGUCAGGCUUGCGCCCAUUGCCCAAUAUUCCCCACUGCUGCCUCCCGUAGGAGUCUGGACCGUGUCUCAGUUCCAGUGUGGCCGAUCAGCCUCUCAGCUCGGCUACCCAUCGUUGGCUAGGUGGGCCGUUACCCCGCCUACUACCUAAUGGGACGCGAACCCCUCCUUUAGCGGAUUUCUCCUUUGACCUCUGUGUCAUGCGGCACUGUGGUCUUAUGCGGUAUUAGCACCUGUUUCCAAGUGUUAUCCCCCUCUAAAGGGCAGGUUGUUCACGCGUUACUCACCCGUUCGCCACUGUCCUCUUAUAAGUAAAGUAAACUUCUACUUAUAAGAUUCUCGUUCGACUUGCAUGUGUUAAGCACGCCGCCAGCGUUCGUCCUGAGCCAGAAUCAAACUCUGA
RNAcentral lists this ribosomal RNA (501 nucleotides) under uncultured bacterium. Its description in RNAcentral is "partial 16S ribosomal RNA". The record is from RNAcentral.